Molecule: ribosomal RNA, 460 nt
Filed under: uncultured bacterium
Lineage: Bacteria
Description: bacterial SSU rRNA
Rfam family: Bacterial small subunit ribosomal RNA
Source: RNAcentral
AACGAACGCUGGCGGCAGGCUUAACACAUGCAAGUCGAACGCUCGUAGCAAUACGGGAGUGGCGGACAGGUGAGUAACGCGUGGGAACGUGCCCUGAGGUACGGAAUAACUGAGGGAAACUUCAGCUAAUACCGUAUGAGCCCCCGAGAGGGGGAAAGAUUUAUCGCCUUGGGAGCGGCCCGCGUCGGAUUAGCUAGUUGGUGGGGUAACGGCCUACCAAGGCUUCGAUCCGUAGCUGGUCUGAGAGGACGAUCAGCCACACUGGGACUGAGACACGGCCCAGACUCCUACGGGAGGCAGCAGUGGGGAAUCUCGCGCAAUGGGGGCAACCCUGACGCAGCCAUGCCGCGUGAACGAUGAAGGCCUUAGGGUUGUAAAGUUCUUUUACCCGUGACGAUGAUGACGGUAACGGGGGAAUAAGCUCGGCUAACUUCGUGCCAGCAGCCGCGGUAAAGUAUCG